AUACUUACCUGAAUGGGCUGUAUGGUUGAUCAUGAAAGCCCAUGGCCUAAGGUAGUGACUUUCAUUGCACUCUUGAGGUAUAUUGCCUUAAGGUCUACCAAAAUGGUAGAGCCUACAUCAUAGUUUGUGGUAGUGGAGUUUGCGUUUGCGCAACUCCUUC
This is a small nuclear RNA of Vigna unguiculata (cowpea), 160 nucleotides long. RefSeq annotates it as U1 spliceosomal RNA. NCBI's taxonomy places the organism in Eukaryota, Viridiplantae, Streptophyta, Magnoliopsida, Fabales, Fabaceae. The record is from RefSeq and is a predicted model, not a curated record.